This 468-nucleotide ribosomal RNA is filed under the name uncultured bacterium. RNAcentral describes it as "partial 16S ribosomal RNA". It matches the Rfam family "Bacterial small subunit ribosomal RNA", at positions 28 to 507 of the family's 1533-position model. The record is from RNAcentral.
GACGAACGCUGGCGGCGUGCUUAACACAUGCAAGUCGAACGGAAAGGCCCUGCUUUUGUGGGGUGCUCGAGUGGCGAACGGGUGAGUAACACGUGAGUAACCUGCCCUUGACUUUGGGAUAACUUCAGGAAACUGGGGCUAAUACCGGAUAGGAGCUCCUGCUGCAUGGUGGGGGUUGGAAAGUUUCGGCGGUUGGGGAUGGACUCGCGGCUUAUCAGCUUGUUGGUGGGGUAGUGGCUUACCAAGGCUUUGACGGGUAGCCGGCCUGAGAGGGUGACCGGCCACAUUGGGACUGAGAUACGGCCCAGACUCCUACGGGAGGCAGCAGUGGGGAAUAUUGCACAAUGGGCGGAAGCCUGAUGCAGCAAAGCCGCGUGCGGGAUGACGGCCUUCGGGUUGUAAACCGCUUUCGCCUGUGACGAAGCGUGAGUGACGGUAAUGGGUAAACAAGCACCGGCUAACUACGUG